UCCCCGAAGGGGAGGUUAAUAAGUGAUGCUGGAAGCACUUCUAAUGCAGACAUGUGUUAUGGAUAUAAAAGUGAUGAAGGGUGCCAAGUUGCAAAUGCAGACAUGUGUUAUGGAUAUAAUAGCGAUGGAGGGUGCCAAAAAUGGGAGGAAAUACCAAAUUGUAGGGAACCUGGUGAGGUUUUUCGGAAAAUGGUGGGAAGACCAAAUAAAGACAAUGCAACAACAGAUGAACCUGCUAAUGGUUACGAUGAUUGCAAGAUGAGAUGUUGGAGAAAUUGUAAUUGCUAUGGAUUCGAAGAAUUAUACAGUAAUUUUACUGGAUGUAUAUACUAUUCAUGGAAUUCGACACAAGACGUUGAUUUGGACAAAAAGAAUAACUUUUACGCCUUGGUAAAGCCAACAAAAUCACCUCCGAAUUCCCAUGGUAUAUAACAUUUAGUAUCAUUUUAAUUAGAUAGAUUUUUUUUAGUAUGAUUCUAGAAAUAUUUCCUUCUAUUAUAGCCGGUGUCGGUCUAAGGACAACUGAAGUGCAAAUAAAAUUGAUUGAAAUCAAACAUCUUAUACGCCACCACUUAGUUUUUUUAUUUUAUUUGUGUAUAGUCAAUGCAGGUAAGAGGAGGAUAUGGAUAGGUGCUGCAAUCGCAACUGCUUUACUCAUAUUAUGCCCACUCAUUUUAUUCCUAGCCAAAAAGAAACAAAAAUAUGCACUACAAGGUAUAUGGUUACUUUAAAAUAGUUAAUCCAGGUAAAAAAAAAGAUGGAUAUGUAUAGGUUCUAUUUUUAUCUUUGAUUUUUUUUGGUUAUGUAGGUAAGAAAAGUAAAAGAAAGGAGGGUAAGAUGAAAGAUUUGGCGGAAUCCUAUGAUAUCAAAGAUCUUGAAAAUGACUUCAAAGGACAUGAUAUAAAAGUUUUUAACUUUACAUCAAUUUUGGAAGCAACUAUGGAUUUUUCAUCUGAAAACAAGUUAGGACAGGGAGGCUAUGGACCCGUUUAUAAGGUGACUUGAAAACAAAUGUUUAUAAUGUGGUAAUAUUUUUUUCAUGGUUGGCGAAUUUUGUUUCGGACAAAACAUCUAUGCAUUGGUUUUAGGUAUAUUUAGUAUAUGGUUAUCAACUUAAGUAUCCAUUAUUUCUUCAAAUACAUAAUUUUCUCAGAGAUCCAUUAAAAAGCAUCUAAGAAAAUACAUCUAAAUUAUGACUUCAGGGAAUCUUGGCAACAGGACAAGAAGUUGCUGUAAAAAGACUUUCAAAAACAUCUGGACAAGGAAUUGUGGAAUUCAGAAAUGAAUUGGCAUUGAUAUGUGAACUUCAACACACAAAUCUUGUACAACUACUUGGUUGUUGCAUUCAUGAAGAAGAAAGGAUUCUAAUUUACGAAUAUAUGCCAAAUAAAAGCUUGGAUUUCUAUCUAUUUGGUGAGAAUAUGUUGAAGGCUAUAUUUGUAUGUGAUCUUUUUUUUUUUUUUUUUUUUUUAUUAUGAAGAAAUCAUAAAAUUGUGUCUAUUAUUAUGUUAUAAAUAGAGCACAAUUAUAAAUAAAGUUAUGGGAUCUUUAUUUUGGAUAGUUCACUAAAAUAACAUGUUAUUCUAACUUAAUAACCAAUAUCAUGUUUUAUGUGACUCAUUAGUUAGUCAUAGAAAUCUAAAAUGGCAUUUUAGUUUUCUACUUUUGAUUAGUAUACAUUUUAACAUUAAGUAUCAUGUUUUCAUUGACAAGAUUGUACAAGAAAAAAGUUACUAGACUGGAAGAAGCGCCUGAACAUAAUCGAAGGAAUUUCUCAAGGAUUACUCUAUCUUCAUAAGUACUCUAGACUCAAAAUCAUUCAUAGAGACUUGAAGGCUAGCAACAUACUCCUUGAUGAGAAUUUGAACCCGAAAAUUUCAGAUUUCGGUAUGGCAAGAAUGUUCACGCAACAAGAAUCAAUAGUUAACACCAACAGGAUUGUUGGGACAUAGUAGGUUUUCUAAGCUUUCCCUGUUUCUACCUUUUUAUCGAUGAUUACGUAAAAGAGUUGGGAUUAUUAACAAGAUUUUGGUGCAGUGGAUACAUGUCUCCAGAAUAUGCCAUGGAAGGAAUUUGUUCAACAAAGUCUGAUGUUUAUAGCUUUGGAGUGUUGCUUCUUGAAAUUAUUUGUGGAAGAAAAAACAAUAGCUUCCAUGAUGUUGAUCGCCCACUAAACCUAAUAGGACAUGUAUGUAAAUUUACUCACAUUGACUUUUAUUUUUAAAAUAUAUCAUUCCUUGUUCCUAAUUUGAUUAAACUCCUAACAGGCAUGGGAGCUAUGGAAUGAUGGUGAGUAUCUACAGUUACUGGAUCCAUCUUUAUGUGACACAUUUGUUCCUGAUGAAGUGCAAAGGUGCAUUCAUGUUGGUCUCUUAUGUGUACAACAAUAUGCUAAUGAUCGACCUACAAUGUCCGAUGUUAUAUCAAUGUUAACAAACAAAUAUAAACUCACAACUUUACCAAGAAGACCGGCAUUCUAUAUUAGAAGAGAGAUCUAUGACGGGGAAACAACUUCUAAAGGGCCAGACACCGACACCUAUUCUACGACAGCAAUUUCUACCUCAUGUGAAGUAGAAGGAAAAUAUAAGUAAUCAAUAUAUAUUGGUCAAAAACUGCAAGCUAGAAUGUAAGUAAAAAAAGGCUUGAUUAUGGUAUUGGUUUAUGUAAUAUUCUCAUUUUCUGUGCUUGUAAAAUGUAAUAUACUCAUUUUCUGUACUUGUAAAAAUAUUAUCAAAAUGGUCUACUUUCUAUUGAAAAACUAGUUAGUUGAUACUUGUGAAUCUAACUGUGCAACACAAGAGCAUGAAUGAAUUGUCUCUUACUGAUAAUCAUUGCCAUUGUCUCUUACUUUUUCUUUGACACUAUUUCGUGUGCAUUGCUUGCCGGAUCGAUCUGGAUGUUCCUCUUUUCCGGAUUGGAUUAUGCGUUUCUUUUUCAAAUUUUGAAGGAAAAUAGGUAAUGGAAGUAGGAGACAAGUACAGAAACCACAACCAUAUGUAGAUAUGAAAAAUGCAAACAAAUUAACUUGUGAUGUUAAGGAAAUAAGAAAAAGUUAAAUAUUCAAUUGCCUUUGUUUAUUCAUUUUCGGCACAAUAGGAUUCAAUGCGACACCAAACUUGCUACCUCUAUGCCAUGAAAAACGAAAACACACACCAAAGAUAACACUAACAAUUCAAUACGACAAUAAUGUGAGAAAAUAUAAUGAUUAUAUGGAAUUGAGAAAAGAAACAUUGUAUGGGAAUAGAUGGAAUUCACAAAUACAGAAGCUGCAAAGAUGUGAAUAGAUGGAAUUGCGAAAAAAAUUAAAUAUAUGGAAUCGAGUGUGCUUAUUGAAUUUUCAACGCUGCACUUUGCCGCAAUCGCUACUGUGGUAGACAUUUUUUUUUUGAAUUUAUUCCUUCUUCUGCUUUCUGAUUUCGCGAUUCUUCGAUAUGAUCUGAAUAAUGUGAAAAAUAGUUCUACGCUUGGAAUGUUACAAAUUUUGCAAUUGUCUAAGUUUAGCAAUAUUUCUUCAACAUAAUUCUGCAUAGGUCCAAGAGAAAGAGAAUUGAACAUUAAGAAACAAGGCAAAGUGCAUUGGAAAAGUGGAAAACUUGGAAGCAAUGGAUUAUUCGAGAACAUUCUAGAGAAUGUCCAACAUGUGUAUCGAUACAUGAUUGUCUCUAACAAAGAUGAAGACUCCUUCAGUUUUGAAAUCAAAGGUUGUAAGUAUUAAAAGUUUCCAGGGUAGAUACUAUUAUAUACUGGAAGGUUAACAAGUAAUGAAGGAUACUAUAAUAAUAGUAAUGGUGGAUGCCAAAAAUGGGAGAAUAUACUGUCAAGCGUUGCUGAAAUCAUUUAGUAACACGGUCUUUACCUAACAUUUGUCAAAUGUUUCAAGAUCUAAAUAGUAACAUUUAUUUUUGAUUUAGUUACAAUUUUGAAUUGUUACUAAAUCUUAUAUAUGUUGUAGUGUCGGACUGGUUGUAUAUUCUAUUCAUGAAUUUCACCAAAAGAUCUUAAUUUUGGGGACGAUACUAGUUUUCUUCCCUCCAUGGUAAGUUUAAUAUAUUUAAAUUUGAAUCUAAUGGAUAUUAACUGUUAUAUAUAUAUAUAUAUAUAUAUAUAUAUAUAUAUAUCAUAUCACCCCACUUUUGAAAAUAUAUUUUAAAUCGAAUGGUGGAUAUUAGGGUAAAAUUAAUUUCCAUCGACAAUAGAGAAUUUUGGAUUGACUUUUUUUUUUAAAUUUUUUUUAAGUCGUUAUUUCAAUUAUAUCUUUAAAUAAUUUUUUCUAUAAUAAUGUUAUAUUGUUGGCGUUAUUAAAAAAUAUAAGAAUUUUUAUUAUAUUAUUGUUGUCAUUGAAAAAGAUAAACAUGAUUUGUUGACUUUGUUACAAAAAUUAUAUAAAACAUUGUUUGUAAUUUUCACGCAAAUUUUAAAUAAAAUAUCGUUGAUAAUAUACACGUGCUAGUGUAAUAAAAAUAGCAAAAAGAAGGGCACGUGAGUGCCCGUAAUAAUAAUAAUAAUAAUAAUAAUAAGAAUAAUAAUAAUAGAUAGAUAGAUAAAUAGAUAGAGAGAUAGACAGUGUUGAACCAAAGUGAGUUUUAGAACAAUGUCUCUAAAGUUUUGAUGAUAACAAUGUAUGAAAGAACAAUUGGAUACACAAAUGUGUGUUCAAGUGUGCAGUACCAUAAAAUUAAAUUCUAACUCUGAAGUCAACUUGUUGGUUCUGAAAUACCAAAAUUUGAAUGCAAAUGAAUGCUUUUGAUAUUCAAGAGAAGCUCUGAAAAAUACGACUAUGAUCUGAAGUUGCACAAAUCCUUACAGAUUCUAAUGGAAAGCAAAUUCUUAUGUAAGUACACUCUAAUGUACAUGUCCUUGGUCAACUGGACACCUCAUGGUCAACUCUAAUGAACUCUGACCAGUUUUGUCUUUUUCUGGAGAGACGUCACUAUCAAGUUAUGAAGCAUUUUUUAUCUUCUUAUGACCACGUGUACAAAAAAUUGAAAGACAAGGAAGAUGCAACAAAUCAUUCAAAAAGAAGCAAAAGAACACAUCAAGUACGAUUCAAUGAAGUCCACAAGAGUAUCAAAAGUCUAUUGAGUUUUAAGUUAGUUUACCACUUUGAGUAUCAAAGUGUAAACACAAUAAUUUUUUUUUUUUUUAAACUUUGAUCGUAGAAGUCCUCAAGUGUGAGGAAAGUUUUUUUUAGACAUGUGUAUGUAAGUAAUUGUAACCUUGUGUGAUAUAUUAUAAUGGAAAAUCUUUUGGAAAUGUAAGGGGACUGAACUAAUUAACCUCGAAUUAUGGGUAAUUGCUUGAGUUGUUCUCUUCUCUCUUUAUCUUUCUAUACUUUGUUUUGUUUUCAAACUUUACUUCCCUUUUUGUUUUUCUCACCUUUAGAUAGAUUAAGAUCCGAAAAAGUGUAUACCCAUUUUAUUUGAUUGCUAGGAAGAAAAAAAAAAUACUCACCAAGACAUGAGAAGGGUGGUUUCAGUUUGAAAUCUUACAAUGCAUUGCACAUCUUUGAACAACAAGAUAAGUAAUUAUUUGGCUCUCAUCAGAUUUCAUGUCCCACCAAUUCAAUCAGAGAAGCGUAAUCUUUAUUUUCCACUACAAAAUGUUCCACAAGAGUACCUUUCUCCAGCACUUCUUUUUAAAAGAAAAGAAAAAUAGAUCAGUGUACUUUAGCACAAUCAUUGAAGGAUAAGUAAUGGAAAGUUGAUAACAUCACUGUUGUCUGUUUAUUCUAUUGACAUAUUUAGAACUUAAUCUACUAACAAUUUUAAUAUAGCCUAAAGUAAUGGAAAUUAAAUAAUAUGAUAAGAUACUGUUUUUUUUUUCUUUCUAUUUUGAAUAUGCUUUAUUCUAGAAAAGAAUACGUCUAUCAUUUUUGUAAUACUUUUUUGAAUAGUAAAAAUAGUAAUAAAAGGUUGAAUUAUUUUUACUUAUUAUGUUAACCAUUUGGUCAGGGAGGUAAUUAAAAUCUGAUAAAUAAUUUUUCCACCUAAAAUGUUAAAUUACUUUGUAGGUAACCUAAUUACUUUCGAAUUUUUAAAUAGAUUUCCUUACAAUUUUUUUAGCUACUGAAUUUUUUAUAAUUUUGAAUAUUUUUUUAUCUAGAAAAUUAUUGGAUUAUUAAUUGUCCAAAUUGAUCAAUGACAUGAGCAAUCAGUUAUUACUCCAUCCGUCAACAACACCUUGUCCUCAAGGCUGUAAUAAAAAAAAGAAUUUGGAUAACUUCUAUGACAGCCUUAUACGUAUUAGGGUUUUUUUAUCAUGUGCAAAUUUGCACAUGUUAACACGUUUAAAGUAGUAAUUUUGACUUGAAACUUGUAUUUUUUAAUAUUAAAUAUGUAACUUUUACUCAAUAAUUGUUGGUUUUCAAUGAAAAGUUACUACUUUUGGUUACCUUAACAUGUGCAAUAUUGCACAUGUAAGACAAACCCUACGUAUUAUUACAUAUAUGGGAUGGAGUAAGUAAUAAUAACGCCAUAUGGAGUAAAAAAAAAAAAAGAACAGUUAAGAAUUAAAUAAUGAAAUUCUAAGUCUUUCUCAAUUUCUAUGACCUAUUCCGACUCUAAUUUGAAUAAUUAUAUGUAUUCAUUUCCUAAUUUGAAUAAUCUAAAUAGAGUUGGAACAAAAAAACCAGAACCGUAGACACUGUGAACAAUGUUUUUAGGGUAAUUAUUAUCUUUACAUAUUAAAGUAAACUGAUCUUUACCUUUAACUUUAAAAAAAGUUGUGAAGAAAGGUCUAGUGCAACAUUUUGCAGUUGAAAAAUAAAGAUAAAGUUGAUUUGAGUAAGAGUUGGGAAGUGCAUAUCUUUUUCUUUUCCUUUUUCAAUCCAAUCCAAAGUUGGGCAGUGCAGAUAGUAAGAGUUUAAAUUAUUCUCCUUCGGGUUCGAUAAGUAUAUUUCUCUUCUUUUUGAAACAAUAUUCAUCGAUCAUGAUAAGCUUUAAGAUAAAGAAACAAGUUGUAUUGAUAUACUUAUGGUUGUGGUGGAUUACUUCUACUAACAUUUGUGUUAAUGCAACAAAUGAUAGUUUGAAGCCAGGUGAUACAUUGAAUUCCAAAUCCAAGCUAUGUUCUAAACAAGGCAAGUAUUGUCUAUAUUUCAAUCGAACAUUAGAUAGCGAAGAUGCUCACUUGGUCAUUGGUGUUAAUGCCGAGUAUGGCGCAGUAGUGUGGAUGUAUGAUAGAAAUCAUUCCAUUGACUUAAAUUCAGCAGUUCUAUCACUAGAUUAUUCUGGUGUGCUCAAAAUAGAAUCAUAAAAUAGGAAACCAAUAAUCAUUUACUCGUCACCUCAACCCAUAAACAACACUUUGGCCACUAUAUUAGACACAGGUAACUUUGUGCUUCAACAAUUUCACCCAAAUGGGACAAAUAGUUUAUUAUGGCAGAGUUUUGAUUAUCCCGAUCACACUUUGAUCCCAACGAUGAAGUUGGGAGUUAAUCGAAAAACUGGACAUAAUUGGUCAUUGGUUUCAUGGAUGACUCCUUCGCUACCAACUCCAGGUGAAUUUAGUCUUGAAUGGGAACCAAAAGAAGGUGAAUUGAACAUCAAGAAAAGCGGCAUAGCGUAUUGGAAAAGCGGAAAACUUAAUAGCAAUGGAAUAUUCGAGAACAUUCCCACGAAAGUUCAACGUAUAUAUCAGUACAUUAUUGUCUCUAACAAGAAUGAAGAUUCUUUCGCUUUCGAAGUUAAAGAUGGGAAGUUUGCACGAUGGCAACUAACCUCGAACGGGAGGUUAGUAGGUCAUGAUGGAGAUAUUGGGAAUGCAGAUAUGUGUUAUGGAUAUAAUAGCAAUGGAGGGUGCCAAAAAUGGGAGGAAAUACCAAAUUGUAGGGAAAAUGGUGAGGUUUUUCAGAAAAUGGUGGGAACACCAACCUUAGACUAUGAAACAGUGUUUGAAUUCGAUGUGACUUAUAGUUACAGUGAUUGCAAGAUUAGAUGUUGGAGAAAUUGUUAUUGCAAUGGAUUCCAGGAAUUUUAUGGUAAUGGGACUGGAUGUACAUUCUAUUCAUGGAAUUCAACACAAUAUGUUGAUUUGGUGAGUCAGAAUAACUUCUACGUCUUGGUAAACUCUAUAAAAUCAGCCCCAAAUUCCCAUGGUACGUAACUUAAUUAUAAUAUCAUUUUUAAGUGAUUAUUUACUGCUUAUUCACCGUAGAUAUUGUCUCUUCCUUCAGCCAUUAGAUAAUCGGUGUCAAUCUAUGGAUAUUUAUGUGCAAUUUUGCCUAGUUAUGUCUAGUUAUAGGUUUUCUUUCAACUGAGGUCUUGGUGAUAUCCCCCUUUUUUUGUAAUACUUUUCUUUUGUUGAAUAUAUUUUGGGUGAGCAAGCCUCUGCUGCUCCCUAGUUUUUUAUUUAUUAUAAAAAAGUGCAAAUAAAAUUAAAUUCAAUUGAACAUGUUGUAAUGAGUCUAAUAAAUCCCAUCACUUAGUUUUUGAAUAGGAAGCAUGUUGAGGGUUCAAGUCUUGACAAAGAAAAUUACCAACAUACAAUAGUUAACCUACUAAUGUUUUUUGAAUAGGAAGCAUUAGUAGGUUAAUUAUUGUGUUAGUAAUUACUUAGCUCAAUUAUGUUGAGCUACCAAACCCCUCCUCCAUCACUUGGUACUAUCUUAUAAAUUAGAUUUUCUAAAGUGUCACGUUAAAUUUUAAAGUAAAGAUUCAUUUGUAUAUUAACCGGUUAGUCUAUUUAAAGAUAUAUAUGACAACGUUACUUAUUUAAAGAAAUUGAUAUGAAAUAGCUCAUUAAGUAUAGCCAUAAAAAUCAUAUAAGGUAUCCAAAAGGGUCAAACUAGGAACUAAAAAAAUGCCUAUGACAAGUAAUAAACCAAACUUAUGAUUGAAUUUUUCGAACUGAUCAUGCAUAGGUCUUACAAAUCCUAAUCGAUCCUAACUUAUUUCCGCUCCUACCUAUGGAUCAUAAGAUAUGACAAUUCAAAAUAAAUACUUAAACUACCCAUUGUCCUUAAGUGACAAACUUGCCUUGUACCUUAAUUGGCGAAAAAUGCAAUUUGAUCAAGAAAAGGUUGAAAAAAAAAAAUCUUUGUUUCACAAGACCUAAAGAACACAAAUAAAAUAGAAAGGUAUCAAAGGGAUAUAUUUCUAUUGAUCAAUGUUAGAAACAAUAGCCAAAAUGACUUAGCUAAAAUGAAACAUCAACCAACUUUUGUUAUAAGUUUCUCGAUUUUCCUAAAGAUAUAUCGCAACCGAUGAAAUUGAAAUUGUAUUAGUCAAGGGAAAGUUAUAAGUGUUUGAACGUUAGAGGGUAUAGUUUUCUCAGGUGACUAAACUUGUAAUGGAAAAUAUAAUCAUGAAGAUUCCAAAAGUCGUAUUUAUAUACAAGGUUUUUGAAUUUGAAGGAUAGGAUUAGGGUUUGGUAUCACAUUCAAAUUAAUUGUGUAUAGUCAAUGCAGGUAAAAAAAAGUGGAUAUGGAUAACUUCUACAAUCGCAGCUGCUUUACUCAUAUUUUGCCCAAUCAUUUUAUGCUUAGCCAAAAAGAAACAAAAAUAUGCACUUCAAGGUAUAUGGAUACUUCAAAAUAGUCUAGUUCAAAUGUACUAAAUCCAAUACCUUUACGACUUUACUUUCUAUUUUGUCUUUUUUUUUUUUUUUUUUUUUUUAUGUAGAUAAGAAAAGUAAAAGAAAGGAUUUGGCGGAUUCGACUGAAUCCUAUAAUAUCAAAGAUCUUGAACAUGACUUCAAGGAACAUGAUAUAAAAGUUUUUAACUUUACAUCAAUUUUGGAAGCAACUAUGGACUUUUCACCUAAAAACAAGUUAGGACAGGGCGGCUAUGGACCCAUUUAUAAGGUAACUUUAAAGUUCAACUGCAUUAAUUAUACAUUAAUGAUUAGGUUUGUUUAAAAGCAUGUUGUAAAUUACUAUCACAGUUAUGGCACCAUCUUCAUGUUGCAAACAAAUGUUUAUAAUGUGGAAAUAUUGUUUUUGAUGGUUGGUGAUUAUUGUUUUGGAUAAAACUUAUAUGCAUCUGUUUUGGUAUGUUCUUAGGUAUUUAUUCUUUUUUGUAUGGAUUUAACUCUAAUAUCAAUGAUUUUUUCAAAUUCAUAAUCUUUGCAAUGUUUGUUGUUACAACUAGAAAAAGUGUAUUAAUUGUUAAGAACCGUAUUAAAAUAAUAUAAGGAAAUGCACCUAAAUUUUGUCCUUUUGUUUUACGACUUCAGGGAAUCUUGGCAACCGGGCAAGAAGUUGCUGUAAAAGGACUUUCAAAAACAUCCGGACAAGGAAUUGUAGAAUUCAAAAAUGAAUUGGUCCUUAUAUGUGAACUUCAGCACAGAAAUCUUGUAGAACUACUUGGUUGUUGCAUUCAUGAAGAAGAGAGGAUUCUAAUUUACGAAUAUAUGUCAAACAAAAGCUUGGAUUUCUACCUAUUUGGUGAGAAUAUGUUGAAGUCUAUUUUGUAUGUGAUGUUUUUUUAGGACAAAUUCAUAAAGUUGUGUUCAUUAUUAUGUAACAAUUAAAGCACAAUUACAACAAAACUUGAGUUUUCUUAACUAAACAUUUUCUGAAAUAAUUGUUGAUAGUUCACGGAAAUAACGUGUUAUCCUAACUUGAAAAUAACCAAGUAAAUCUCAUGUUCUUUGUGACUCAUUAGCUAGCCAUAUAAAAUUAAAAUAGCAUUUUGGUUUGAUACUUUUGAGUAGUAUAAAUUUUAGCAUUAAUUGUUAUGUUUUCAUUGAGAAGAUUGUACAAAAAAGAAGCUGCUAGAUUGGAAGAAGCGUUUUAACAUAAUAGAAGGAAUUGCUCAAGGAUUGCUCUAUCUUCAUAAGUACUCAAGACUCAAAAUUAUUCAUAGAGACUUGAAGGCGAGCAACAUACUUCUUGAUGAGAAUAUGAACCCAAAAAUUUCUGAUUUUGGUAUGGCAAGAAUGUUCACACAACAGGAAUCCGUAGUAAAUACCAACAGGAUUGUUGGGACAUAGUGAGAUUUCUAGACUUUUAUGGUUUCCAAUGUUUUUUAUUGAUGAUUUUGUAAAACAUUAUUUAUUUUUUAAAGUUAUGAUUCUUUUGUGCAGUGGAUACAUGUCUCCAGAAUAUGCCAUGGAAGGAGUUUGUUCUACAAAGUCUGACGUCUAUAGCUUUGGAGUGUUGCUACUUGAAAUCGUUUGUGGGAGAAAAAACAAUAGCUUCUAUGACGUUGAUCGCCCACUAAAUCUAAUAGGACAUGUAUGUCAGUUACUUUCAUCGAGUUUUUUUUAAUAAAUAUUACAUGUUGUUCCUAAUUUGAUUAAAUUAUUAAUAGGCAUGGGAGCUAUGGAAUGAUGGUGAGUAUCUACAGUUAAUGGAUCCAACAUUAAAUGACACAUUUGUUCCUGAUGAAGUGAAAAGGUGCAUUCAUGUUGGUCUCUUAUGUGUAGAGCAAUAUGCAAAUGAUCGACCAACAAUGUCUGAUGUUAUAUCUGUGUUAACAAACAAAUACCAACUCACAAACUUACCAAGAAGACCAGCAUUUUAUGUUAGAAGAGAGAUCUUUGAGGGGGAAACAAUUUCCAAAGGGCAAGACACCGACACCUAUUCUACGACAGCAAUUUCUACUUCAUGUGAAGAAGGGAAAAUAUAAAUAAUAAGCAUCGCCUGUAUAUGGUUUUGGUUUAUAAAACAUACUCAUUUUCUGUGUAAAAAAAAAUCUCGCAAUGGUCCUUUUAUAUGUAUAUUUUCAUAGUUCUCGUUAAUAUAUUUUAGUCUAUAUCAAAUUUUUCAUAGUCCAUGUAAGUGAAAAUUUCUUAGUCCGUCACCAAUCACUUUUAAAUUAUAGCAAGUUUUGUUUAUAAAUGGAAGACAACAAAUUAGUUGCAUAGGCUAUGUAGUAAAAAGCAUACCAAUCACAAAAAUGGAUAACUUUUUAGUUUAAUUGCUUUCACAAAUGGGAGAUUGGAUAGCUUGACUAGUUUGAGCCAAAAGAAAAGAAGUUGGAGGUACUGAGUUUAAACCCAGAUGAAACUCGAACGAAAGAGUAAAUAUUGAUCUAACAACAAAUUACUAAUAUUUUUCGUUAAAAAAAUGCUUUCACAAAAUCUAAGAAGUGGAAAAACCUUACAUGUUAUUCAAGAAGUAAGAAUAAAUGUUGGGUUGUAAGUGUAAGUGGUUAAGUCCAACAUCGCAUGUAAACAUGCAACAUGUUACAUAUAUAAGAGAGUUGACCCAUAUAGUUAACUAGUUUUUUACACCCCGUUUGCACGGGGGAGGAAGUUGUUUUUGCUAAUAUACAGAUUAAUAUUAGAGGUGGUAUUAUGUUGGUUCAACAACUAAAAUGCUAUAUACAUAUAAUAAUUAUGAAUUACGAAUAUAUCAAUCAGAGCAAAUUGAAACAGCAUUGUACCAUAUCUUUUGAAGUCUUGGACCAUUGACUCAUAUCACAUCUACUCUAAAACUAUUGUUCACAUAAAUAGAACAUAUUUUAAUAUGAGCAUUUAUAUAUAUACACCUUUUUGUUUUUCUACACCUUUUCAACACCUCAUUUCUCUCUGUCUCUCUUUCUUAUCAAGUGAGCAAUUUAUCACAUCUAUCACAACACUCUUUUUAUCUCUAUCUCUCUCUAGCGGUAGAUUGAAUUUGGGUGUCUAAAGAUUAUAUUUCUUUCAAUAUAUAUCAAUAGAUUAUAAUGACAGCACCACAUAAAUAGAACAUAUUUCAAUUUCAAUAUUUAAACUACACAACUCCAUUGACAGCGACAUCUCAGUGUCUACAGAGACACCUUAUAAUAUCUUCUAGCUAUCAUGAUAUUUUGGUUUAAAACGUGGCUCUUUUAGACAUGUUGGCUUAAUCCGACGGCAUAGACAAGGCACCCUGCCUUUCAUGCUCCUAAAAGAGUUAGAGAAUCUAUUUUCCUAUCCUCUUGCCUUCUCGCACGCCCUCCUAUUGGAAGAAAAUAUCCCUGUCCGGAUUCUUAAUCCAAACUUUUUUUAUGUAUUUUCAGACUACAUAAUCUUAACCCGGUUAAAAGUCAAUAAACAUAUUGUAAUCCAUAUGAUUAUUUCUUUUGACCAUCGUACUAUCCCUAAAAUACCUAUAUAUAGAUUUUGGGAACAGUAUGAAUACUCAUGAGCAGUGACCAUAUAUGGUAUCAUUACCUGAAGAGGGGAUUUGCAUUGAAUAUAGAGAAUAAUGCAAGGCUAGUUAUAGCCACAAAACCCUCUUGGAGUGUAAGUACAGUCAAAGAAAACGUUUAAAAUGACCAAAGCAACCAAAAAAGCAUAAACAUACCACAAACCGUCCAAACACUUUUUGCAAUGCUAUAGUCCACAUUUUGGACUAGUUCGGAUUAUAUAAUCCAAACAUCUGCCCAAAUUGCUUUGGAUAAGAUACUCUAAUUUUUUCUUUUAGAUUUUGUGCUUCUGAGGGUUAGGCCGGAUUCAAAUUAUAUAAUAUGAGUCGUGCCCAAAACACUGAAAAUUGAAGGAAAAAAACUGUCAUUAAAUCAAAUUCUACAGCAACAACAUUGACAUACAUUAAACAUAACAAUUUCGACCACAUAACUUGAAUAACAUAAUUCAACACUGUAAAAUAACAUAAUAAAAUAACACAUACGCUCAUAAAUCCUCCAAACUAAACUCUUCAUCAGCUAUAUCCUUACAAGUCAUGAUCUCUUCCUAGCUCUGAGGCUGAAUCAAACUUUCCUUGAUAUCAUGAAAAAAUCUUACCAAUGAAGUGUCUAACUCAAAUGACCCUUCUAAAUUGUGCUAACCAAAUAGAGAACAUGGUUCCCACAUCCUAGUUGCUUCAUAGCUUCAUCUGGGUGAACCAGAUGCUUCCAUCUUGGUGGAUCGACGGGUCGCGAUACUCAACGCUGUCCACCCUCCAUGUGUCUUUAUGGUUGAGUCAGCUGUUUAUUUGGUCCAUUUGAUCCUUCAAGACAGACAAUCUGACAUCAACAUGGAUCCUAACCAGAUUAGGUUUCACAUCGUUGUAGUAAACUGAGGCUAGCUUAGUGUUUUUAUCUCUAGAUAAGUGUUGAUAGUAAACAGACCAAUUUAUAUAAGUGUAUGGGAAUCAUGAACAACAUAAAUUGUUGGUGCAAGUGGACCACAAAAAACUAAUAUAUUUGACUAGUUCAGAUUAUAUAAUUUGAAACUUGUCAAAUCCUCCUAAACACAAGUUUUCACACGGUAUGGGUAGGUUUCAAAUUAUAUAAUCUGAACCAAUACAGGAAAGGUUGUAGAUAAUAUAAUCCGAAGCAGUUUAGAAUGUGGACGAAGCAAGAUUGCCUACUUUCAUGUGUUUUUUACCGCAUUUUCAUGGUUUCAACCUCCCCUUGACUGUCAUUACAAUAUAUGUUUGCAUUUUUCCCAUAAAAGUCCACCCAGUCUUCACAAUUUCUCAUUCCAAUUUACAUUCUCUUCUUUUAUUUUUGUUCUUGGAGUUGUCUAUGAUAGCAAUGUUUCACAAUUGGCCUUUCAUACAAAGGUUCAUAUUAUCUAGUGGGGAUAAUAUGAAUGGUUAAAGGGAGUUAUUCCACUCUGCAAAUGUAUAAUGAAUUCUUGAUCAAAUAAUAAACUAGGUUGAAUUCUUGUCAAUUUAAAAUACGAAAAGAUGAUGCCAAUUUUAAUUUUUCUUUAUUAUUUAAUUUUACUCGACAUGUAUAAUCAAAUUAAAACAUAAAGCACAAUAAACAAACCAAUCUGAUUCAUGUUUUUGUAAUUGGCAUGAUUUAAGGGUAAGAGACUAAGAUACAGCGACGUGAUUUAAAUUAGUAUGCUAGGAGGGAGACUUUUGUCCACAAAUCGCAUUUUGUGUUGUUACAAUACCAUUGGUGUUGAUUCUAGUACCUAGAGAAUUAACCUUUGACCGAUUCAACUUUGAAACCACGUAUGAGUAUUUGUGAUAUUAUUUUUUCUUGAGUCCUUUUAUGUUAAGUUGUUGCAUUUAAUUUUUCCGUUUGCAAGCUAAGUUGCUUGAGAUAUAAGCAAUGGUUCAAGUGUGGGGAGUUUGAUAAGAUGCAAAAUGCACCAUCUAAAUAGCUUGAUUUUCAUUUGUUUUAGAGUAGUUUGCCGUGUUUUGCACAGUUGCUGCUGUUGUUUUGCUUGUGUUAUAGGUACUUGAGUGUUGGAAGCAAAAACGGAGCAAAGAGGCUGAAAAUGUAGCUGGUGAUGGUCAUACUCGCAGGAGUGACAGCCAUGAUGUAUCCCUGUGGGACGCCCAUCAGAGCUAGAAGCCGAAAGUCAAGGAAGGAACUGAAAAGGUCAAUGACGGCCAGACCUUCAUAGGGUAUAACGCCCGUCAUGCACCCGGAAGCCGGUGUUUUCAGAUUGCUCUUAAGAGAUUUGCUUGCAAUGCAACUUCUCUGGCAUUUCUUCUGCACGAUUUUGAGAGCUUUCAGCUUAUAAUUUAGGCUGUUAAAGCAACCAAACACUCAGUUUAUUGUACCUUGUGCUACCGUAUUAUAUAUUAUAACUUUCAGAACCUCUGUUUUAUUUUAUUCAGCCAAGUGCUAUUUGUUAUUAUUUCGUUGCUGCUACGUUAAUUUCGAAUCCAAUUAAUUGCCUUAUUACUGUUGUUGUGUUGGUGUGCUUCUGAAGUUCUUUUAUUUUCCCUGUUUGCUGCACUUAAGGUGUUUUUCCUUUCCAUUCCAAUCGUAAUAUAGUACGGCCGCAACUGUUCUCUUUGUUCAAAGUGUUCGUCGAUUUACAGGUUUUGUCCCUUUAUUUACUUUUUAAUAUGAAUUCACCUAAGAUAAAUUUAGAGUAUUAUUUCAAUAUGUGUAGUUUAAUUGAGUCCAUAACGAGAGGACAGUCGUACCGACAGAACUCAUAAAUUAAAUGUCUAUUUGAUUACAACAAGAAUAAAAUCAAUGUUCUGAAAAUUUUGUUUUAAUUUAAAGCUUUACAACGAAAGUAGAAACAUAGAAAUAUCGCUUACGCGUAGAAAGAGCGGCAGCGGUAUUGGACUUAGAAAAUUCAGAUUUUUAAUCAAGUUAGUAGUGAUAAAACUUUUCUAAAAUCCGACAACGGAUUGCGAAAGCAAACGAUGUCUCUAAUUUGGUAUUAUUCUAGAAAAAUAUUAUAUUCUCGUCACAGCUAAGCACCAUAAUUUGUAUGAGUAACUUAGGUGGACGAAAAUCAUUGUUUUGGCCUAUCGUUGUUAUUAUUAAAUUAAAUUCUGUAUUUUAUUUUUAACGCGAAACAAAUUGUUUUGAAUUAGCCUUUGAUAAACAAAGAAACGACAGAUAGCAGUACUUAUAAGUUAGUAUCUACGGAAUCGACAAGCCUUUAUACUAAAACCAAUAUAGCCGUACACUUGCGGCGUAUCAUUUGUUACGUUCAAUUUUGUUAAGUCUCUAAUUUAUUUUUCUUUUCCAGUUUUCCUUUUUUAUGAAGUUAUCAAGCAUACAGGUAGUUUUGUAUAGGUUUUGAAAGGUACUCUUACUUUCGGUAACAAUAUUAUUUUUGGUAUAAUUAGCCCCAUCUGUAGAAUGAUUUUAGCAUCAUUAUAUGCAGACUAAUUAGCAUCACCCUGGAGUGGUAAACAUCAAGGCAGCAAGUGGAGGAGAGAAGCAUUUGAGUCACUAUUUUAAGUUUGAUGGUAAAGAAUUAACUAAAACUGUAUUUAAAAUUGUUUACUAGAUAAUGGCUAUGAUUGAGCUACUAAACGGUAACAUUUUGUUUUUGCAUGUUACUAAUACUACUCUUAAAGUUACUUAAACCAUUUAGUAACAUGGACUUUACCCAGCAUUUAUCAAAUGUUACUAGAUCUAAGAUCUGAAAAAAGUUUAUACACUAAGACAUGAGAAGGAUGGUUUCAGUUUCAAAUCUUAGGAUGCAUUGCACAUCUUUUUGAACUCCAACUUUUUGGCUCUCAUCAGAUUUCAUGUGCCACAUAGUCUAAUCAAACCAACGUUAUCUUUACUUUCCACUACAUUCUCCAACACUUUAUUUUUCUUUUUAAGAAAAGAAUAAUAGAUCAGUUUACUUUGACACAAUUGUUGAAUGAUAAGUGAUGGAAAGUUAAUACUUCACUGUUGUCUGUUCCUACUGUUGACAUACUUUGACACAAUUAUUAUUGUAUUAAAGUAAACUUCUUUUAAAAAAAGUAGUAGAGAAAGGUAGUCUAGUCUGUGCAACAUUUAGUAGUGGAAAAAUAAAGAUAAAGUUGAUUUGACAUUAACUUUGUGAACUAGAACAAACUCUGAUAAGGGUCUAAAAUCAGUUGUAUCAAAUUUCCAACCAAAGUUGGGCAGUGCAGAUUGCAAGAAACAAGUUGGUGAGUAUUUCUCUUCUUUUUUAAACAAUAUUCAUCAAUCAUGAUAAGCUUUGAAAUAAAGAAACAAGUUGUAUUGAUAUACCUAUGGUUGUGGUGGAACACUACUAGCAUUUGUGUUAAAGCAACAAAUGAUAGUUUGAGGCCAGGUGAUAAAUUGGAUGCAAAUUCCAACCUAUGUUCUAAACAAGGCAUGUAUUGUCUAUAUUUCAAUAGCGAAGAAGCUCACUUGGUUAUAAGUAGUGGUUUUGAUGGCCCAGUAGUGUGGAUGUAUGAUAGAAAUCAACCCAUAGACAUAUAUUCAGCAGUUCUAUCACUAGACUACUCUGGUGUGCUCAAAAUAGAAUUUCAAAAUAGGAAUGUACCGAUUAUCAUUUAUUAUUUGCCUGAACCAACCAACGACACUGUGGCCACUAUGUUAGACACAGGUAACUUUGUGCUUCAACAACUUCACCCAAAUGGGACAAAGAGUAUACUAUGGCAGAGUUUUGACUAUCCAACAGAUAGUUUGAUCCCAACGAUGAAGUUAGGUGUUAAUCGAAAAACAGGACAUAAUUGGUCAUUGGUUUCACGGUUGGCUCAUUCGCGACCAACUUCAGGUGAAUUUAGUCUUGAAUGGGAACCAAAAGAAGGUGAAUUGAACAUAAGGAAAAGCGGCAAAGUGCAUUGGAAAAGCGGAAAACUUAGAAGUAAUGGAAUAUUCGAGAACAUUCCAGCGAAAGUUCAAAGUAUAUAUCGGUACAUUAUUGUGUCUAACAAGGAUGAAGAUUCUUUUGCUUUCGAAGUUAAUGAUGGGAAUUUUAUACGAUGGUUCAUAUCCCCGAAGGGGAGGUUAAUAAGUGAUGCUGGAAGCACUGCUAAUGCAGACAUGUGUUAUGGAUAUAAAAGUGAUGAAGGGUGCCAAGUUGCAAACGAAGACAUGUGUUAUGGAUAUAAUAGCGAUGGAGGGUGCCAAAAAUGGGAGGAAAUACCAAAUUGUAGGGAACCUGGUGAGGUUUUUCGGAAAAAGGUGGGAAGACCAAAUAAAGACAAUGCAACAACUACUGAAGGUGAUGUGAAUUAUGGUUAUAGUGAUUGCAAGAUGAG
This 18289-nucleotide long non-coding RNA is filed under the name Medicago truncatula (barrel medic). RNAcentral describes it as "long non-coding RNA (MTRU_LNC006183)". Lineage: Eukaryota; Viridiplantae; Streptophyta; Magnoliopsida; Fabales; Fabaceae. The record is from RNAcentral.